RNAcentral lists this ribosomal RNA (799 nucleotides) under uncultured microorganism. Its description in RNAcentral is "bacterial SSU rRNA". It matches the Rfam family "Bacterial small subunit ribosomal RNA", at positions 98 to 913 of the family's 1533-position model. The record is from RNAcentral.
GCGGACGGCUGAGUAACGCGUAGGUGACUUGCCCUGAAGUGGGGAAUAACGAUUCGAAAGAAUCGCUAAUACCGCAUGUGGUUGUGCGUGUAGGCGCGUGCAACUGAAGCCCGCAAGGGCGCUUUUGGAGAGGCCUGCGUCCGAUUAGCUAGUUGGUGGGGUAACGGCCUACCAAGGCGACGAUCGGUAGCUGAUCUGAGAGGAUGAUCAGCCAGACUGGGACUGAGACACGGCCCAGACUCCUACGGGAGGCAGCAGUUAGGAAUUUUGCACAAUGGGGGAAACCCUGAUGCAGCAACGCCGCGUGGAUGAUGAAGGCCUUCGGGUCGUAAAAUCCUUUUCAACGGGAAGAAACGGACGGUACCGUUGGAAUAAGCCACGGCUAACUACGUGCCAGCAGCCGCGGUAAUACGUAGGUGGCGAGCGUUAUCCGGAUUUACUGGGCGUAAAGAGCAUGUAGGCGGUUCCGUAAGUUGGGCGUGAAAGCCCCCGGCUUAACUGGGGAGGGUCGUUCAAUACUGCGGGACUUGAGGGUGGACGAGGAGACUGGAAUUCCCGGUGUAGUGGUGAAAUGCGUAGAUAUCGGGAGGAACACCUGUGGCGUAGGCGAGUCUCUGGGCCACUCCUGACGCUGAGAUGCGAAAGCGUGGGGAGCGAACGGAAUUAGAUACUCCGGUAGUCCACGCCCUAAACGAUGGACACUAGGUGUGGUGGGUAUCGACCCCUGCCGUGCCGUAGUCAACACAAUAAGUGUCCCGCCUGGGGACUACGAGCGCAAGCUUAAAACUCAAGGAAUUGA